RNAcentral lists this ribosomal RNA (773 nucleotides) under uncultured Neocallimastigales. RNAcentral describes it as "partial large subunit ribosomal RNA". It matches the Rfam family "Eukaryotic large subunit ribosomal RNA", at positions 26 to 616 of the family's 3401-position model. The record is from RNAcentral. Lineage: Eukaryota; Fungi; Neocallimastigomycota; Neocallimastigomycetes; Neocallimastigales.
CGCAUCUGUGCAUGCAGCAUAUCAUAAGCGGAGGAAAAGAAACUACCAAGGAUUCCCCUAGUAACGGCGAGUGAAGCGGGAAGAGCUCAAAUUUGAAAUCUUAAAGGGUUUCCCUUUACGAAUUGUAGUUUAAAGAAGUGUUUUCUGUUGAGGUUUUGGUAAAAGUUCUUUGGAAUAGGACAUCAUAGAGGGUGAGAAUCCCGUAUUUGACCUUUACUUUCAACUUUGUGAUACACUUUCAAAGAGUCGGAUUGUUUGGGAAUGCAGUCCAAAAUGGGUGGUAAAUUUCAUCUAAAGCUAAAUAUUGGCGAGAGACCGAUAGCGAACAAGUACCGUGAGGGAAAGAUGAAAAGAACUUUGAAAAGAGAGUUAAACAGUACGUGAAAUUGUCAAAAGGGAAGCGUUUGACACCAGUGUUGUUUUUCUGAAAAUCAAUUAAAGAACUGUUUAUGCUAAGUUGUUUAGACUUUAUCAGCUAACUGUUUAGUUUUGAGCUUUUCUUUAAUGCACUUUUCAGUUAACAAGUCAACAUCAAUUUCUUUUGCUGUAAAAAAGCUUGAGGAAGGUGGCUUGAGAUUCGUCUUAAGUGUUUAUAGCCUCUUGCCUAUGCAGUCGGAGAGAUUGAGGUCUGCAGCGUAGAUCCUUCGGGGCUAAAUGCAUUUGUGCUAAGUUAUAGCAUUUUAUAGACAACUUGUUGACUAUGAUUUGUCUUGUAGCUUACUCGCUUAUGUUAUUUUACCUACGCUUAGGAUGUUGAGCGCAUGUCUCUCUCU